AACAUUCAACGCUGUCGGUGAGUUUGAGAUAAAUUGAGAAAACCAUCGACCGUUGAUUGUACC
Molecule: microRNA precursor, 63 nt
Filed under: Lepisosteus oculatus (spotted gar)
Lineage: Eukaryota; Metazoa; Chordata; Actinopteri; Semionotiformes; Lepisosteidae
Description: Loc-Mir-181-P1a_pre stem-loop
Rfam family: mir-181 microRNA precursor family
About the family: In this case the mature sequence comes from the 5' arm of the precursor. The extents of the hairpin precursors are not generally known and are estimated based on hairpin prediction.
Source: RNAcentral